This 288-nucleotide ribosomal RNA is filed under the name Triticum aestivum (bread wheat). RNAcentral's name for it is "partial small subunit ribosomal RNA". Lineage: Eukaryota; Viridiplantae; Streptophyta; Magnoliopsida; Poales; Poaceae. The record is from RNAcentral.
AUGGCUAGCAUCAAUCGUUCUUCCUCUUUUUUGGGUAUUAUGUAUGAUUUGGUUGCAUAUACCAGCAGGAAGAACAUGAAAUAUCUCCAUUAUACCACCUACUUAAAGGAGAGCAUAGAUCUGUUCAUACGUGCAUGUCUAAUUGUCUAUACAAGUACACAACCAUGCAUUAAAGCUCAACAAUGCACGACAAAGACCUGGCCUGUGAGGCCAGUCAAUCAGGAUCCUUUGGCCGCCUCAAAUGAUCUCUUGGGCACCGCAUCUAUGAGUACUAGUACUAGCAGCUAG